This is a non-coding RNA of Callithrix jacchus (white-tufted-ear marmoset), 98 nucleotides long. NCBI's taxonomy places the organism in Eukaryota, Metazoa, Chordata, Mammalia, Primates, Cebidae. The record is from Rfam.
GGCUGGUCCGAGUGCAGUGGUGUUUACAACUAAUUGAUCACAACCAGUUACAGAUUUCUUUGUUCGUUCUCCACUCCCACUGCUUCACUUGACUUUAA